AACUUUUCAGCUAGAGUUUGAUAGAGGAAAGCAGAAUUUCUAGUGUAGAGGUGAAAUUCGUAGAUAUUAGAAAGAAUACCAAUUGCGAAGGCAGCUUUCUGGAUCAUUACUGACACUGAGGAACGAAAGCAUGGGUAGCGAAGAGGAUUAGAUACCCUCGUAGUCCAUGCCGUAAACGAUGUGUGUUAGACGUUGGAAAUUUAUUUUCAGUGUCGCAGCGAAAGCGAUAAACACACCGCCUGGGGAGUACGACCGCAAGGUUAAAACUCAAAUGAAUUGACGGGGACCCGCACAAGUAGUGGAGCAUGUGGUUUAAUUCGAAGAUACGCGCAGAACCUUACCAACACUUGACAUGUUCGUCGCGACUUUAAGAGAUUAAAGUUUUCGGUUCGGCCGGACGAAACACAGGUGCUGCAUGGCUGUCGUCAGCUCGUGUCGUGAGAUGUUGGGUUAAGUCCCGCAACGAGCGCAACCCUCACUUUUAGUUGCCAUCAUUAAGUUGGGCACUCUGAAAGAACUGCCAGUGAUAAGCUGGAGGAAGGUGGGGAUGACGUCAAGUCCUCAUGGCCCUUACGUGUUGGGCUACACACGUGCUACAAUGGUAUCUACAACAGGAAGCAAAACGGCGACGUUAAGCAAAUCCUUAAAAGAUACCUCAGUUCGGAUUGCACUCUGCAACUCGAGUGCAUGAA
RNAcentral lists this ribosomal RNA (692 nucleotides) under uncultured bacterium. Its description in RNAcentral is "bacterial SSU rRNA". It matches the Rfam family "Bacterial small subunit ribosomal RNA", at positions 631 to 1324 of the family's 1533-position model. The record is from RNAcentral.